UGUCCGGUGCGCCCCCGGCGGCC
This 23-nucleotide small nuclear RNA is filed under the name Arabidopsis thaliana (thale cress). RNAcentral's name for it is "snRNA_13063". The record is from RNAcentral. Lineage: Eukaryota; Viridiplantae; Streptophyta; Magnoliopsida; Brassicales; Brassicaceae.